This 598-nucleotide long non-coding RNA is filed under the name Coccomyxa subellipsoidea. RNAcentral's name for it is "long non-coding RNA (CSUB_LNC000377)". Lineage: Eukaryota; Viridiplantae; Chlorophyta; Trebouxiophyceae; Coccomyxaceae. The record is from RNAcentral.
CAGAAAAUGCUUUGCAUUCAGAUAACUUUUACCGAGAUCUCUUUGUACAAAGUAAUAUUUUGCGGUUAAAGGCGUGGUAGCCUAAACAAUUGACUUGCCCAGACAGAUCUCUCAUUCCCAUUCUGCCCGUGGUCCGGAGAUUUGUCUUUGUACUUGCUUUAAUCGUCCAUAUAAAAUCAUACAUCGUAUAGACUUUCACCUUCCAAGCCCAGUAGUCGCCAGUCUGUUGUAGGGCUUCCUUGAGCUAGCUCAGGCAUCCCUUUCUUGGAAUCCUCACAGCUAGAGUUACAAUCCGCGGACAAUCAGCAGAUUUUGGGGUGAUUUAUCUUGUUGUUUAGUUAUCAGGCAAGGAGCAGGAUGACUACUUCAGGUCUAUCUUUACUGCAGAUCUCGAGUGUGCUGCAGACCCAGUGAUACAGCCCUACCGAUUAUGAUAACGUGUAAGAUGUUGGGCCAGCGGCUUCACAUGCCUUAUUGUCUACAACACAUGUCCGUCCUCUGUAGACGGCCAUACGUUGGGCUUGCAAAGCGCAAUCUCAACAGCUCCAGAUGCAUCGAUGGCAGGACUCCACCUCCUUUGGGCCGUCAAUCCCAUAGG